UACGUAGGGUGCGAGCGUUGUCCGGAAUUAUUGGGCGUAAAGGGCUCGUAGGCGGUUUGUCGCGUCGGGAGUGAAAACCAUGGGCUUAACUCAUGGCUUGCUUCCGAUACGGGCAGACUAGAGGUAUGCAGGGGAGAACGGAAUUCCUGGUGUAGCGGUGAAAUGCGCAGAUAUCAGGAGGAACGCCGGUGGCGAAGGCGGUUCUCUGGGCAUUACCUGACGCUGAGGAGCGAAAGUGUGGGGAGCGAACAGG
RNAcentral lists this ribosomal RNA (253 nucleotides) under uncultured bacterium. RNAcentral describes it as "partial 16S ribosomal RNA". It matches the Rfam family "Bacterial small subunit ribosomal RNA", at positions 524 to 776 of the family's 1533-position model. The record is from RNAcentral.